CUUAUCAAGAGAGACCGAGGGAAUAGGCCCUAUGACGUCCGGCAACCGAGGAUUUUAUGAAGAUUAUAAAAACCAACGGUGCUAAUUCCUACAGAAUGUAUAUUCUGAAAGAUGAGG
This 117-nucleotide non-coding RNA is filed under the name human gut metagenome. RNAcentral's name for it is "SAM riboswitch (S box leader)". It matches the Rfam family "SAM riboswitch aptamer (S box leader)". Rfam says of the family: The SAM riboswitch is found upstream of a number of genes which code for proteins involved in methionine or cysteine biosynthesis in Gram-positive bacteria. The SAM riboswitch acts at the level of transcription termination control. The record is from RNAcentral.